This 230-nucleotide long non-coding RNA is filed under the name Musa acuminata (dwarf banana). Its description in RNAcentral is "long non-coding RNA (MACU_LNC010355)". Lineage: Eukaryota; Viridiplantae; Streptophyta; Magnoliopsida; Zingiberales; Musaceae. The record is from RNAcentral.
UAUGUUCUAGGAAUUGAACCGUAAAAUUGAGGUGCGAGAAGUCAAUUCGGGUUCAAUUCGAAACUAUAAAAUUAGACUUCUUCUUUCACUUUGUUACACUAUCAUCUUUUUUUUUUUUCAACUUUUGAUUUUUUUUUUUUUCGAGCAUUGGUUCUGUUGAGAUUUGUAAAUCGAUUAAUGAGUUUGGGAUAAAUUGAUCAAGAUAAAUAUAUAUAAGUUUUGUAUCAAUC